RNAcentral lists this ribosomal RNA (385 nucleotides) under uncultured bacterium. RNAcentral's name for it is "bacterial SSU rRNA". It matches the Rfam family "Bacterial small subunit ribosomal RNA", at positions 28 to 414 of the family's 1533-position model. The record is from RNAcentral.
GACGAACGCUGGCGGCGUGCUUAACACAUGCAAGUCGAGCGGUAAGGCCCUUUCGGGGGUACACGAGCGGCGAACGGGUGAGUAACACGUGGGUGACCUGCCCUCAGCUCUGGGAUAAGCCCGGGAAACUGGGUCUAAUACCGGAUAUGACUCCAUGACGCAUGUUGUGGGGUGGAAAGCCUUGUGCGGCUGAGGAUGGGCCCGCGGCCUAUCAGCUUGUUGGUGGGGUGAUGGCCUACCAAGGCGACGACGGGUAGCCGGCCUGAGAGGGCGACCGGCCACACUGGGACUGAGACACGGCCCAGACUCCUACGGGAGGCAGCAGUGGGGAAUCUUGCGCAAUGGGCGAAAGCCUGACGCAGCGACGCCGCGUGAGGGAUGACGG